AAUGAUUUUAACGAAAUCUAGUCAAGAUGCUAUCAUCUUUUCUGUUAUUGCGUACGUAUUUUUACAAGACACAACUUUUAAUCUCUAUUAACAUUAAUUGUCCGAAAACAAAAGAUUUCUGAUUAAUUUUAUCACUUGAUUUACGUGUAAAGCUGUUCACUUUCUAUAUCCCACAUGAACAAAUUUAUAUAGGCCAAAGGUAAAUCACGAAUUCAAAACGGCGCGAAUUAGGAUUAUGUUCAUAAAACGCGAAACAAAGACGACACGAAAAUUUCCCGGUUUACAGUACUAUAAUAUUGGUGAUUUUAACGAACUCUAGUCAAGGUGAGAUCAUUGAAUAUACAGUUGAAUGUGUAAUUCUGUUGUAUUUAUAUCUUUUCUGAGCCAUUCUGAAAUGUUUAAAUAAAUACAUUAAAUACAGUGUCUGAGCAGAAAGUUGAUGAACCAGUUGUCUUUGAGUAUAUAUUCUGGGUACUGACGUUUUCUUAAUAACGUGUUAUAAUAUUAUUUUAUUUGUCUUUAUGAAUAUCACUUUUACUGUUAAGUCUGUUUUUUAAAAUCCAUUUUACGUUACUUUGUACUUAUACAUCCCGUC
Molecule: long non-coding RNA, 595 nt
Filed under: Mytilus galloprovincialis (Mediterranean mussel)
Lineage: Eukaryota; Metazoa; Mollusca; Bivalvia; Mytilida; Mytilidae
Source: RNAcentral